This 920-nucleotide long non-coding RNA is filed under the name Equus caballus (horse). RNAcentral's name for it is "lncRNA (ENSECAG00000051248.1)". Lineage: Eukaryota; Metazoa; Chordata; Mammalia; Perissodactyla; Equidae. The record is from RNAcentral.
GUCAAGGAGGGCUUCCUGGAGUAGGUGGGAUUGAACUUAGGUUUUGGGGGGUGGUGUCCACAAUGAGCUUUGGGGUGAGGAUCCAGGUCCUGCUCUAGGCUGGUGUCUCAGACCUGCUGGGUUUUGGAUGCAUGACCAGCCCCAUCUUAGCUGCCUCAGUGUCACUGCACUUUGGGAGGGACCCAUACCCCAGUCUGAAGAUCAACCACCAUUGGAAGCCCUGGGAGCAGCACCGAGAGGCGGGCCAUGUGGACACCCUGGUCUGCAGAUGAGGGCUCAGAGAGGGGACGUGACCUGCCCGAAGCCACCAGCUCCUGAACUGUAGGACUCGAACUCCACGGCAGAGGCUGCUCUCAACCUCUCAGCCCUCACUGAUGCUGAUGAAACAGAGCUCCCCGCGCCCUGAGGUGGACUCAGCCCUCCUCACACGCCGGAUCCCUAAAGGAAGACUGGUGCAAACCCAGCCCCGACGCACCAUCUGUGCUCUCCCAUCGGUGCAGCCCAGGCAGAGCCCAGCCGACAGGACCCUGCACUGGCCUCGUGCCCAUCAUCUGCCAGAGUUGUGCCCACGCCUGCCCAGCCUGACCCGGACCAACCAUCCUCGUUCCUGAAGUUGGCCUCGUGUUGGACGGCGGCCGAGCACCUGCUCAGUUGUGAUCCGAACUCAGGCCUGGCCCUCCCUGGUCCCUCCACGUCCAACCUCCAUCCCCCCACCCCCAGGCUGAACAGAGGAGGGGAGGGGGAAUGGUGAAGCUGGGAGCCACAGUAGCAGCUGAAGGGAUGGGGUUAGAGUGGAGAAAGAUCCCAAGAGAAGCAGGAGAGAUCACCGGGAGAUAAAAGCUAGAUAUGUUGGAGUCUUAACCCCCAGGACCUGAGAACGGGAGCUUACUUGGAGACGGGGCCUUUCCAAGGUGCUCCAG